Long non-coding RNA from Gossypium arboreum, 405 nucleotides. RefSeq lists it as uncharacterized. The transcript has 2 exons. NCBI's taxonomy places the organism in Eukaryota, Viridiplantae, Streptophyta, Magnoliopsida, Malvales, Malvaceae. The record is from RefSeq and is a predicted model, not a curated record.
GGUGAAAAGAACAAAGUUUUGUCCAUCUUUGUUAAUCAUAGCUAAAAGUUAGAGAAGAGAAAGAGAGGAGAAAGCUCUUGAGUAUUUGGUCAUUAGGAGGAGGAAAAUUGAAGGAAAUCCCAAACCAUAGUGGGCUUGGAGCUGUGAGGGAAUUCGGAGUGGCCACCAGUUCUGAAAGUUUGAUUUUCCUCUGGUGAACUGGACAUCCUUUUAUUUACGUUUGAAGUUUUGGGUUUUUUUCAAUGUAAUAAGGCCGCUUAAUUAUUUUUGAUGGUUUUAAUAUGUAUUACUAAGAUAGGUAUUACUUAUUUUAACUGUUGAAAUUGGAUAGCUUUAGGGCGCGUUUUCAAAAACAACAAUUGAUUUCAAAAUAACUCGACAACAAGCAAAGCUUCCGCAAUGAAA